UCUCUUUUUAGGAAAGGGAAGCAUCGGAUGCGUCUUGAAGGGUGAACCAUUUUUGAAACUUAUCAGGAUGAUGGAGUUGUCCCGCCAGUGUGUGGGCUCAGCCUAUUGCAAGUCCGGUGCGGUUUAAUUUUUGCACGGACCGACCUUGAGUUGUUACCUGGCCUCGACAAAAGUGGGCGUAGCUGUUCCGAUUGUGAAGGAAGGAUGGCAAGGAACAAAAGAUUGUAUGAAAAAUCAAUGCUUGCUGGCUAUCAAGCGCACCUUGAAAAAUAGGAUGGAUAGGCCUGCAUUAGCUGGAACGUCCCAGCUGACUAAUACGGAAUCGUUGGUUACUUGGGUCACAUUAGGUUUACUUGGAG
Long non-coding RNA from Gordionus sp. m RMFG-2023, 359 nucleotides. RefSeq lists it as uncharacterized. NCBI's taxonomy places the organism in Eukaryota, Metazoa, Nematomorpha, Gordioida, Chordodea, Parachordodidae. The record is from RefSeq and is a predicted model, not a curated record. The transcript has 3 exons.